This is a non-coding RNA of Carica papaya (papaya), 982 nucleotides long. The record is from RefSeq and is a predicted model, not a curated record. Lineage: Eukaryota; Viridiplantae; Streptophyta; Magnoliopsida; Brassicales; Caricaceae.
AAAAUGGGGUUUUCUGAGAAGUUAGUUGAUAGGAAUUGGGAGUUGCUUAGAAUAUGGAAUUAAUUCAUUUUUAUCUUUAAUAUAGAUUACUUAUUUGGGAAUGAUACAGCAAAAGGGUUAUGCAUCCUAGCUGAUGAUGUUAUUCAGAGGGCAUGAACACCAUGAGACUAGAGAGAUUAAAGAAUUCUAAACUAAUGAGUAUUCAAAUAUUUAAUCCCUCAAGCUUCAGACACUCAGAUUCUACUUCCUAAGAGACAAUGAGAGCAACAACAUGAGCUGCUUAAUAGUUUAUAAAUAUAAAAGUACCCAUUGUCUGCCAUUUACACACCUUUCCUCAAACAAACAAGUUGGCAAUCUCCCUACAUUACUCAACAUGUCUGCUUCUGCAAACCUUCUAAAGCCACUUAUCUUUAGGGUGGUCUCUCUACUCACCUCAUCAGAAUUGUUUCAACAAUGUCAGUUUCUUGCAGGAACAAGUGCUUUCUCUUCACUCUUCUUGCUCUCCUUGUUUUCUCCGAGGCAGCGAGACCCCCUAAGGCGUAUUGGGAACAAAUGCUCCCCAAGAAGCUCCCAACUCCUUCCUCAUCUCCAUCCAAAGGCACCAAUGCCGUACAAACAUCAUCUUCAACCAUCCUCAAGGCUGAUACAACUCUCUCUUCUUCAGAUGGAAAGGUCUAGCUUAAUUAUGCUUGACCACUUCUGAUUCUACAUAUCUCUAACUGUAGAUUAUGGCUCCUUUGAGACUGCAUAUAUUGGCACAAGAGGGAUUGGUGAAGAGUUCUGUAUAACAGUCUUCACAGCUAUCUGUAUCUAUUAAUCUCCCAACAUCUUGUAGAUUUCUUCGAUGUACGGAUACAUUCUAUUUGUAAAGAGGAUAUAGUACAGAUUUUCUUGAUAGGCGGAUAAAUUUUGCAAUUGGUGAUUUGAUCAGGAUGGAAGAAUGAAUGAGUCAGUCAAUACACAAUAAAGUGAGCUUUUGUUA